This 903-nucleotide ribosomal RNA is filed under the name uncultured Bacillota bacterium. RNAcentral describes it as "bacterial SSU rRNA". It matches the Rfam family "Bacterial small subunit ribosomal RNA", at positions 1 to 917 of the family's 1533-position model. Lineage: Bacteria; Bacillati; Bacillota. The record is from RNAcentral.
UGGAUCCAGACUUUGAUCCUGGCUCAGGACGAACGCUGGCGGCGUGCCUAACACAUGCAAGUCGAACGGAGCUCCGCCCUUCGGGACGGAACUUAGUGGCGAACGGGUGAGUAACGCGUGAAGAACCUGCCUUCCAGUGGGGGACAACAGUUGGAAACGACUGCUAAUACCGCAUGAUACUUUUGAGGGGCAUCCCUUGAAAGUCAAAGCUUUAAGUGCUGGAAGAUGGCUUCGCGUCUGAUUAGCUAGUUGGUGGGGUAACGGCCCACCAAGGCGACGAUCAGUAGCCGGUCUGAGAGGAUGAACGGCCACAUUGGGACUGAGAUACGGCCCAGACUCCUACGGGAGGCAGCAGUGGGGAAUAUUGGGCAAUGGGCGAAAGCCUGACCCAGCAACGCCGCGUGAAGGAAGAAGGCCUUCGGGUUGUAAACUUCUUUUACCAGGGACGAAGGACGUGACGGUACCUGGAGAAAAAGCAACGGCUAACUACGUGCCAGCAGCCGCGGUAAUACGUAGGUUGCAAGCGUUGUCCGGAUUUACUGGGUGUAAAGGGCGUGUAGGCGGAGGCGCAAGUUGGGAGUGAAAUCUAUGGGCUCAACCCAUAAACUGCUCUCAAAACUGUGUCCCUUGAGUAUCGGAGAGGCAAGCGGAAUUCCUAGUGUAGCGGUGAAAUGCGUAGAUAUUAGGAGGAACACCAGUGGCGAAGGCGGCUUGCUGGACGACAACUGACGCUGAGGCGCGAAAGCGUGGGGAGCAAACAGGAUUAGAUACCCUGGUAGUCCACGCUGUAAACGAUGAAUACUAGGUGUGGGAGGACUGACCCCUUCCGUGCCGCAGUUAACACAAUAAGUAUUCCACCUGGGGAGUACGACCGCAAGGUUGCAACUCAAAUGAAUCGACGGA